Molecule: ribosomal RNA, 277 nt
Filed under: uncultured prokaryote
Description: partial 16S ribosomal RNA
Rfam family: Bacterial small subunit ribosomal RNA
Source: RNAcentral
CACGGGGUUGUGAGCGUUGUCCGGAAUUACUAGGCGUAAAGGGCAGGCAGGCGGAUCCAUAAGUUUAUCGUUUAAGGCGUCGGCUUAACCGGCGUAGGGCGGUAGAUACUGUGGAUCUGGAAUGCGGUUGGGGAAGACAGAAUUCCUGGUGUAGCGGUGGAAUGCGCAGAGAUCAGGAGGAAUACCGAAGGCGAAGGCAGUCUUCCAAGCCGUUAUUGACGCUCAACUGCGAAGGUGUGGGUAUCAAACAGGAUUAGAUACCCGGGUAGUCCCUGAG